This 459-nucleotide ribosomal RNA is filed under the name uncultured bacterium. Its description in RNAcentral is "partial 16S ribosomal RNA". It matches the Rfam family "Bacterial small subunit ribosomal RNA", at positions 338 to 795 of the family's 1533-position model. The record is from RNAcentral.
CCUACGGUAGGCAGCAGUGAGGAAUAUUGGUCAAUGGGCGGAAGCCUGAACCAGCCAAGUAGCGUGCGGGAUGAAGGCCCUACGGGUCGUAAACCGCUUUUGCACGGGGAUAACACCCUCCACUUGUGGAGGUCUGCAGGUACCGUGCGAAUAAGGGCCGGCUAAUUCCGUGCCAGCAGCCGCGGUAAUACGGAAGGCCCGAGCGUUAUCCGGAUUCAUUGGGCUUAAAGGGAGCGUAGGCGGGCGUUCAAGUCAGCUGUAAAAUCGCGCGGCUAACCCGCGCCCCGCAGUUGAAACUGGACGCCUUGAGUUCACAACAGGCAGGCGGAAUUCGUGGUGGAGCGGUGAAAUGCAUAGAUAUCACGAGGAACCCCGAUUGCGAAGGCAGCCUGCCGGGGUGCGACUGACGCUGAGGCUCGAAGGUGCGGGUAUCAAACAGGAUUAGAUACCCUUGUAGUC